GUCCUGACAGUAAACGGUGCACGUUUGGUGUAGGCGGAUUCGACCCCGUCUGUGCCGGAGCUAACGCGUUAAACGUGCCGCCUGGGAAGUACGGUCGCAAGAUUAAAACUCAAAGAAAUUGACGGGGGCCCGCACAAGCGGUGGAGUAUGUGGCUUAAUUCGAUGCAACGCGAAGAACCUUACCAGGGUUUGACAUGUAUUGUGUCGGCGAUGAAAGUCGCCUAGCUGUAGCAAUACAGCGCUUUACACAGGUGCUGCAUGGCUGUCGU
RNAcentral lists this ribosomal RNA (269 nucleotides) under uncultured bacterium. RNAcentral describes it as "partial 16S ribosomal RNA". It matches the Rfam family "Bacterial small subunit ribosomal RNA", at positions 793 to 1055 of the family's 1533-position model. The record is from RNAcentral.